RNAcentral lists this ribosomal RNA (1456 nucleotides) under uncultured bacterium. RNAcentral's name for it is "16S ribosomal RNA". It matches the Rfam family "Bacterial small subunit ribosomal RNA". The record is from RNAcentral.
UGAACGCUGGCGGAAUGCUUUACACAUGCAAGUCGAACGGUAGAGGGGGCAACCCCUUGAGAGUGGCGAACGGGUGAGUAAUAUAUCGGAACGUGCCCAGUCGUGGGGGAUAACGUAGCGAAAGUUACGCUAAUACCGCAUACGAUCUAUGGAUGAAAGCGGGGGACUCGCAAGAGCCUCGCGCGAUUGGAGCGGCCGAUAUCAGAUUAGGUAGUUGGUGGGGUAAAGGCUCACCAAGCCAACGAUCUGUAGCUGGUCUGAGAGGACGACCAGCCACACUGGAACUGAGACACGGUCCAGACUCCUACGGGAGGCAGCAGUGGGGAAUUUUGGACAAUGGACGCAAGUCUGAUCCAGCCAUUCCGCGUGCAGGAUGAAGGCCCUCGGGUUGUAAACUGCUUUUGUACGGAACGAAAAGGUUUCUUUUAAUACGGGGAGCUCAUGACGGUACCGUAAGAAUAAGCACCGGCUAACUACGUGCCAGCAGCCGCGGUAAUACGUAGGGUGCAAGCGUUAAUCGGAAUUACUGGGCGUAAAGCGUGCGCAGGCGGUUAUAUAAGACAGAUGUGAAAUCCCCGGGCUCAACCUGGGAACUGCAUUUGUGACUGUAUAGCUAGAGUACGGUAGAGGGGGAUGGAAAUUCCGCGUGUAGCAGUGAAAUGCGUAGAUAUGCGGAGGAACACCGAUGGCGAAGGCAAUCCCCUGGACCUGUACUGACGCUCAUGCACGAAAGCGUGGGGAGCAAACAGGAUUAGAUACCCUGCGUAGUCCACGCCCUAAACGAUGUCAACUGGUUGUUGGGUCUUCACUGACUCAGUAACGAAGCUAACGCGUGAAGUUGACCGCCUGGGGAGUACGGCCGCAAGGUUGAAACUCAAAGGAAUUGACGGGGACCCGCACAAGCGGUGGAUGAUGUGGUUUAAUUCGAUGCAACGCGAAAAACCUUACCCACCUUUGACAUGUACGGAAGCCUUUAGAGAUAGAGGCGUGCUCGAAAGAGAGCCGUAACACAGGUGCUGCAUGGCUGUCGUCAGCUCGUGUCGUGAGAUGUUGGGUUAAGUCCCGCAACGAGCGCAACCCUUGUCAUUAGUUGCUACAUUCAGUUGGGCACUCUAAUGAGACUGCCGGUGACAAACCGGAGGAAGGUGGGGAUGACGUCAAGUCCUCAUGGCCCUUAUAGGUGGGGCUACACACGUCAUACAAUGGCUGGUACAAAGGGUUGCCAACCCGCGAGGGGGAGCCAAUCCCAUAAAACCAGUCGUAGUCCGGAUCGCAGUCUGCAACUCGACUGCGUGAAGUCGGAAUCGCUAGUAAUCGUGGAUCAGAAUGUCACGGUGAAUACGUUCCCGGGUCUUGUACACACCGCCCGUCACACCAUGGGAGCGGGUCUCGCCAGAAGUAGUUAGCCUAACCGCAAGGAGGGCGAUUACCACGGCGGGGUUCGUGACUGGGGUGA